UCUCGCGCAAGCGCGCACGCGCCGACCUUAAUCGCUGAGCCGGCACCCGCAGCGGCGGCUUGGGGUGUUCGGCUCACGUGGGGCUGGCUGCGCGUCUUCCAGGCUGUUCUCGCGCUAGUCGCUGCUAAGGGGCCGGCCAUGCGCGAGGAGCUGCGGCGAGGAAGGUCGGUCAGUGGACAUGGCCGAGGCUCGCGGUGUCCGCGUGUGGGAGCUGCAGGGCUGAGGAGAGGCCGCCCGCGACCCUCGGGAAUCCUGUGAGCCCCUGAGAUUCCUUAGUGCGUCCUGGGCACUGAGCUUUUUCACCGAGGCUGGACUGAAGUGGCGCGAUCUUGGCUCACUGCAACCUCCGUCCCCUGGGUUCAAGCGAUUCUCCUGCCUCAGCCUCCCGAGUAGUUGGGAUUACAGGUGCCACCACCGCGGCCCGAACCCGUGUGGAAUGUUCCACUUUGACCAGUGUCUGCGAAAUGGCGGGGGGCUUAGAAAAUGGUGCAGUUUGGACUAACAGAUACGGCGACAUCAAAAUGUUUCCUGGGUCUGUUAAGUCCUGGGUUUGUUAACAUUAUUAAUCUGUUCCUGUAACCCGAAACAUCUUGUGAUUACUAAGAAAGCAGCCAACAGGUCUCUGCCUUAUUUUACCCAGCGCCUCUUCAGGAUGGAAUUGCUCCGGUUCCAAUGCCUCGGACAGCCUUGCUGCUUGAGCUCUAGGUUGUGACCGUGUCAGGGAUAGAGGCAGCUUAGGUGGAGGUAGACUUUCUUGUAUUCGACAUUGAACUGUGGCUUAUUAAAAGCAGAACUUUUAUUCUUGCAGUAGUACAGUAUUAUAAGGGUAAGCAAAAUAAUGAACACAUUUCAUUCUUAAUUACACAUUGUAGCACGAAAUAACUGAUGCCUUUCUAAUGCAAAUAAAAGAGAUUUAUGUCUAUAAUA
Molecule: non-coding RNA, 927 nt
Organism: Chlorocebus sabaeus (green monkey)
Lineage: Eukaryota; Metazoa; Chordata; Mammalia; Primates; Cercopithecidae
Source: RefSeq, a predicted model, not a curated record